Molecule: ribosomal RNA, 254 nt
Filed under: uncultured bacterium
Lineage: Bacteria
Description: partial 16S ribosomal RNA
Rfam family: Bacterial small subunit ribosomal RNA
Source: RNAcentral
UACGUAGGGGGCGAGCGUUGUCCGGAAUUAUUGGGCGUAAAGAGCUCGUAGGCGGUUCGGCAAGUCACGUGUGAAAUCUCCACGCUCAACGUGGAGGCGCCACGUGAGACUGCUGUGACUCGAGUCCGGUAGGGGAGCGUGGAAUUCCCGGUGUAGCGGUGAAAUGCGCAGAUAUCGGGAAGAACACCCGUGGCGAAGGCGGCUCUCUGGGACGGUACUGACGCUGAGACGCGAAAGCGUGGGGAGCGAACAGG